RNAcentral lists this ribosomal RNA (1113 nucleotides) under Arthrobacter sp. D70. Its description in RNAcentral is "bacterial SSU rRNA". It matches the Rfam family "Bacterial small subunit ribosomal RNA", at positions 104 to 1229 of the family's 1533-position model. Lineage: Bacteria; Bacillati; Actinomycetota; Actinomycetes; Micrococcales; Micrococcaceae. The record is from RNAcentral.
GGGUGAGUAACCCGUGAGUAACCUGCCCUUGACUCUGGGAUAAGCCUGGGAAACUGGGUCUAAUACUGGAUAUGACUGACUAUCGCAUGGUGGUUGGUGGAAAGCUUUUGUGGUUUUGGAUGGACUCGCGGCCUAUCAGCUUGUUGGUGGGGUAAUGGCCUACCAAGGCGACGACGGGUAGCCGGCCUGAGAGGGUGGACGGCCACACUGGGACUGAGACACGGCCCAGACUCCUACGGGAGGCAGCAGUGGGGAAUAUUGCACAAUGGGCGCAAGCCUGAUGCAGCGACGCCGCGUGAGGGAUGAAGGCCUUCGGGUUGUAAACCUCUUUCAGUAGGGAAGAAGCGAAAGUGACGGUACCUGCAGAAGAAGCGCCGGCUAACUACGUGCCAGCAGCCGCGGUAAUACGUAGGGCGCAAGCGUUAUCCGGAAUUAUUGGGCGUAAAGAGCUCGUAGGCGGUUUGUCGCGUCUGCCGUGAAAGUCCGGGGCUUAACUCCGGAUCUGCGGUGGGUACGGGCAGACUUGAGUGAUGUAGGGGAGACUGGAAUUCCUGGUGUAGCGGUGAAAUGCGCAGAUAUCAGGAGGAACACCGAUGGCGAAGGCAGGUCUCUGGGCAUUAACUGACGCUGAGGAGCGAAAGCAUGGGGAGCGAACAGGAUUAGAUACCCUGGUAGUCCAUGCCGUAAACGUUGGGCACUAGGUGUGGGGGACAUUCCACGUUUUCCGCGCCGUAGCUAACGCAUUAAGUGCCACGCCUGGGGAGUACGGCCGCAAGGCUAAAACUCAAAGGAAUUGACGGGGGCCCGCACAAGCGGCGGAGCAUGCGGAUUAAUUCGAUGCAACGCGAAGAACCUUACCAAGGCUUGACAUGAACCGGAACGGCGCAAAGAUGUGUCGGCCACUUGUGGCCGGUUUACAGGUGGUGCAUGGUUGUCGUCAGCUCGUGUCGUGAGAUGUUGGGUUAAGUCCCGCAACGAAGCGCACCCCUCGUUCCAUGUUGCCAGCGGGUUAUGCCGGGGACUCAUGGGAGACUGCCGGGGUCAACUCGGAAGAAGGUGGGGACGACGUCAAAUCAUCAUGCCCCUUAUGUCUUGGGCUUCACGCAUGCUACA